ACAUGGCUUCAGUCCCAUUCCAUAGCUUCAGUUAAUCGUUUUGUUGUACGUGAAGUGUUUGACGAAAUACCUCAAAAGCAUGAGCGAGAAAUAGGUCAUGAUAAUGUCAGAUCUGAAAACGUGUUGAUAUGAAACAUUUCUUAGAAGUUGAUUUACCGAGUAUAUAGAUCUGAUGCCACUCAUUGUGCCAUUGUUACUGAACCUGUGUUGUUUAUUGUGUUCUGUGUUCUGAUCUGACCUUCUGUGCAAAAUGACGUUAGAUGAGCGGGUUGCUGUGGUUGUCUGUGUUCGAAGUCUUCAUAUAGGUUGAAGAUGGUUCGAUUAUCUUUCCAAUGAUCUAUAAAACGCCCUAAUCGGACUUCAUUUAAUAUGGUUUUUGCCUGUCCAAAGUUAGGUCCAGAAUCUGCCAAAUAUUUGUUUCUCUGUUUCGGAUGACCUUCUGUGCAAAAUGAAUUGAUAUGAGCUGGUUGUUGUGGUUUUCUGUGCUUGAUGUCUUCAUGAAAGUCAAAGAUGGUUUGAUUAUCUUUCUAACGAGCUAUAAUACGUCCUGAUCCGAUAUCAUUAGCCACAUGAAAUCUUCUUUAAAAGUCUACUCCAGAAUCUGGAAAGUUGUUCUGGUCUGUGUGGUUAUUUCUGUUACUGAUCUGACCUCUUUGCUAAAUGUCUUCGUUUGAGCUAGAAAAUGAUUUUAAUUGUGUUCAUGACCUUCUAAGGAUUCAUAGGAGACUUCUCAAGCUUUCUAAUGACAUAUUAUAUGUGCGAUUUGGUCAUCAUUUGCACUGCCUGAUGCUUCUUGCAAAGAGCACUAAUCUGUUGAUGUGUUCUGCUUGUUAUGAUCUGAUCUGACCACUUAUACAAAUGGCUUUACUUGAGCUAGGAAAAGACCUAAAUUGCAAUUGUCACCUAAUAGGAAUUCGUAAAGGACACCUUGAGCUUUCUAACGAUGCCUAGUUUGUCCAGUUUGCCCAUCAUUUGCCCUGUUUUUUUUUUCUUUUCUUUAGAUCAAGUUUUGAAGUCUGAAUUUGUCUUGACCUGCAGUGCUGUCUUGUCUCUAUGAAUCUGACUGUCUACCAAUUUUGUGUGAUCUUAUACAUAAUGAUCUUGAGGAUAAAUUCUCAAUGAAAGCUGUCCAUAAUAUCCAUAUCCAUCCCACGCUAAAAUUUGAGAAUUUUUAAAGUCAAGUAAUUUUAGAAUUCAAGUUGACAUGCAACAAUUUAAAUUGUCAUGCAUUUUGCUCCUAAUGACAAGUCACAUAUCAAUGUUAGUGAAUUUGUGUGGCCUUUUGCAUAUGGAUUUAGGGUUAAAUGUCUAAAUCAAACAUUUUCUUCACAGUUAACCCUACGUUAUGUUCAAAUUUCAUGAUUUUCAUGCAUUGAUUAGGUGGCUUAACAAAUCAGUUAUCAUACAUCAUUCUCUGAUUUGCUUAUGAUUGAUUUGCAUGCUUUAGCGAUUGUUGCUUUUCGACCAUAAAUUUGACUUUACUUGAAUUUGAUACGCCUCAAGAAAUUCCAUUCAUGAAAAUUGCUCUUUAUAAAGUGCUUGAUUUCUGUGCCUUUUUCUUAGAGCCAAUCGUACAUGGGUUCUACCAAUUGCUUUGAUCUUAAUAAUGAUGAUUGUUUCUUUCACUUGUAUGCACCUAGUCAUAAAUUUCUUAGAUUAGGUUUAGAUUAGGACCUUGAAGAUGGAGAAGGCGUGACGAUGGUGGAGGUCGAUGUCCAUUCCGACCAUUUUGAUGUAAUACCCAUUUUCCCGACAUAUGUCUCGGGUUCCAUGCAUUGUAUAAAACCCAACGAGUUGCGGGUUUUCUUUUUUUCUUUUUUUAAUUGUUUUCUCUUUUAUAUUUUUUAGGAUUGCCUGAUAGAUUUACUGUUUUUCCUUGAUUGCUUACUUAAUGUUUUGCAAUUUCAAUUUCAUUGGUUGUUUUCCUUUCUAUUUUUUUAGAAAUAGAAUAGCAUGAAAAUGAUCAACCACGCACGAUCACUUAGUCUGGGAAUUGAUGAUCCCGAAAAUGUAAAAAGAAAUGCAUGGACAUGUUAGGAAAAACACGACAUACUGUUUAGGUACCGAAAGGGUGCUAAUAGCAAAAUUAGUGUAACUCAAGUCCCCGAACCUAGAUAUAUGGUUGCGUAGGAAUCGAGGGAACACUCCCGACCCUCGAUUGGGUUUCUAGCCAACCCCCAAAGUUGAGGCUAGUGGCGACUCCUGUAUAUUUUUUAGGUUGUUAUAAACAACUAGAUCGCAUAAAUAAACCUACUGUCACGCGGGGUACGAGCUUGGGAGAGCUCGUGAUCUCGAGAUCAAGUACCCCUAAACCCGACCUUUCCCAUCCUUGGAUACCAUUUCGAGGGGGCGGUGAGAUCGGGUCGCGACAGGCUUGGCGACUCCGCUGGGGACUGGUUACUAGGUUAAGAGGACUUGAAGCCGUUUAAAAAUGGUUGUUGUGUUUUAACUAACAUGUCUUAUGUAGGAUCGCCUGCAUGUCAAAGUCGCGUGGAAAAUCAGGUUAGUCACUAACCUCGUGUUAAAUGGUUUUGUAGGUGGGAGUUAUAAGGGGAGGCGUGCUUGUAAACCAUUUGUUUUGCAGGUGGUGUAAGGAUGAAUGAAUGUAUGUGGGUUUAUAUUGAAGUGCUGGAUGUUUAAAUUUAAAUACAUGUUUACCAGCUUUAGCACGACACCGCACACACAACCGUGGUCUAAAACCCCGAUCGCCCAAUUUAGGACCUUAGGAGGGUUUAUGGUUGGAAUCUGCGAGUGGAUGCUCGUGGUAAUCCAUUACUUACAUAAACCCGCUCAUCCCAACCGAUAAAAAAUAGCACUGACCGACGAUAGUAGCGGUGGGUAAAUUAUUUUUAUCCUUUGGGAUGAGGACCUUGAGCCUUUAGUACCCUUACCUUAGGCGUCAAAACCUCACAGUUUCAUGCGACAUGUGACUUGUGUUUGCCAUGUGUUUUGUGGGUAAGUGAUCGUUCCUUUUUUAUCGUCCUUAUCUUUUUACUUUCCAUAUUUCAAUUAUGCAAUUUUAUAUUUCAACGACGAUAUGUUUAAUCAUGUAUGCCCCUUUAGGUUUAGAUUAGAUGGGUAGACUUGAAGUGGACGUGAUCCAUGUGCCUGGAAUCUCAAGACUAUAUGGGAGAAUCUCGACUCAAGACAUCAAGAUUACGUGGAAAGAUUCCCGAGUCUCAAGGAUUUCGGCGAGCUCAUAUUACCAAACAAGAAGACGAUGCCUUGAUCGAUGAGGACCGAUUGGCCCAUGAUAACAAGCGUCUCCACACGAUCCCACCUAGUUCUUAGGUUUCAAAUUCAUAUUUCUUUUCUUGUAAAGGGAAUUCAUUUGUGUUUCCCUCUUUUCUAUCAAGGUUCCCCUGUAUUCAUUUUCAUAUACCUUGUAAAAUCAAACUACUUUGUAAGCUUCAAGAAAGCAAGAUUAUGUUUCCCUUGUAAUUGUUCGAUGAAAUGAAUAACAUUCUUGAACAUUUUCAUGUAAUUUUUAGAAAAGGGGCAUUAUGAUUAAAUAUUUGUCGUCGUUCCUUUUCAAUUGUAUAAUUUCUUUUGAAGAAAUUUUGAUAAGAUGAGGUUAUAUGAUACUGGGAUCAUAUACACUUCUUAUCAUUAUUUCAUCUCAAGAAAAUAUAGAAUUGACUAGGAUUUGCACUUUAAUGAUCUUUUUUAACUUGUACUAAUUCGAGUCAUUUUCUUUUACAGGAGGUUUUGAAAAACGGCUGAAGAAAGAUUUGUUAUACGAACUCGCCGCCAAGCAAAGAUGGAAAACGAAGAUACACGAGCCCGUGUCAUUAAUAUGGAGAAUCAAAUGGCACAAAUGAUGACGUUAUUGGCAAAUCUCUCCAGCCAAGUCAAAAGCUUGACAUCUACUUCUUCUACCAUGAAUAUUCCUACCACGCCCCCUGAAGUGCCGGUAGUAGAGCCUGUGGCAAAAAGGCCUGUAGAAGAGAUCCCCACUGCAAUCCCGAUAGUUAUCGGUACAGAGCCUCCAUCUAAAGAGAUUUCAACUUCACACUUUGAUGAAGAAAAUGCAAGGCGCCUCGCCAAGAUCGAAGAACGUCUUUGCAUGCUGCAAGGCUAUCAGUUGCAGGGGUUUGAUAAACUGUCGCCCUUUGCCAAAAUUACGGUCCCUGAAUUUUAUAAGGAGCCGGAGUUCACAAGGAAAUACGACGGCAUCGGAUGUCCGAAGACUCAUUUGAAGUACUAUUUGGGCAAGAUGGCUCGUUAUUCAGAUAAUCCCCCACUUCUGAUCAAUUCUUUUCAGGACAGCCUAGUUGGUCCUGCGUUAACCUGGUUCAUAGAGUUGGACAUGGAGAAAAUCCGUACUUGGGAAGAUCUUGUUGAUGAAUUCCUUCAGCAAUACAAAUUCAAUACUGAAAUUGCUCCGACUCAAGAAGAAUUAAUUAGGGUCGAGAAAAGAAGAACUGAAUCAUUUAGGGCCUACGCUCAAAGAUGGAGGGUCAUUGCAUCUCAAGUAAAACCGCCGUUGUCUGAGAAAGAGACCAUGAAAUUGCUGCUUCAGGCUAUGCCCCGUGAUCUUUUUGAGAAGAUGUACAACCAUACUUGUAUGAACUUUGCUACAUUUGUAGAGUUGGGAGAACGCAUCAAGGGGAUCAUGCGGGAAGGAAGGUUGUCUGAGAGCACAAAUCGUCGAUAUACCCCGAAGAGGGAUAAGGAAUCAACUGUGGAGAUCGCCUAUGUACAAAAUUCCUCUUCUCAGAAGCCGUACAACCUUCAAGCUCAUAAACUUGCCAUGGAAGUAGGGGGUUCUUCUAGAAACUUGGAGCGCAAAGGAAAAGCCCCUCAAAGGCAAUUUACUCCAUUACCUAGACCCAUGUCACAAUUACUUCCAAUGCUAAUCGAAAAUCAUCUUGUGGCAAAAGAGAUCCCAAGGGAUAAUCCACCAAAGUUUGCCGGAUUCGACCUUAACAAGACAUGUGAGUAUCAUAUGGGUGAAAAAGGUCAUCAUGUGGACAACUGUUUGAUGCUUCGUUAUAAGAUCCAGGAUUUGCUGGAUAAAAAGCUGCUCACCUUUAAGGACUCGGGACCGAAUGUCCAACAAAAUCCUCUUCCAAAGCAUUCUGAAGAUGUCAACAUGGUCGGCGCUAUCGAUGGAAAUGAAGAACCCAUAGUUCCCAUUGUAUAAGGGAUGUUUCUAGUUCUUGCAUUUAAUUUUUAGUUGUAUUCGAUUCAUUUCUCCCCUACGAGGGAAUUUCAUUCAUUUCUCCCCUACGAGGGAAUUUCUGUCAUUUCAUUCGUUUGUACUUGUAAUAAUCUAGAUCAUAAACUUUCUGAUCCAAGAUGAUAUUCGUUGUAAUGCAAUUUUCGCAUAUCAAUAAAAUUCAUGUUUUGUUAAUAGACGUGUGAGGCCGAAACCAGUCCUAUGAUGAUGCUUUGAGGCCUGAGCCUCCACACGAUCUAUAAUUUCAAAAUGUUUUAGUGGAACGAUGACGUCCAAUGACAUGAGGGCUAGUUCCCAAUAAAUUUUUCAAAAAACAACUUGAAUUUGAAAACAAAUUUUUCAUGUCAUUUACAUACAUUGCAUUCAUUUAGAUGUACAUAUACUAACCAUUUUUCGAUUGCAUCUCAAGCAUGGCAUUUCACAUCAUGAUAGUCAUUUUCAUGGCUCAGAUUCGCAUUCAACAAAUUUUGAUGAACCUGAUUAUUCCGACUCAAAGAAUGAAGAUGAUCCUCGAGGUAUUGAAAAAGAAUGGCUCAGACAUGAAGAGUCCAAACCUCUUAUCACCAAACAGCCAGUCACUCUAAAUUUAGGAGAUUCAGAUAACCCUAAAGAAACUAAGAUUGGGGCAGGUCUCUCUCAAGCGGAUGCCAAUGGGUUAAUUGGGCUCUUGAAAGAAAUAUACGAAGGAGAGUGUGGCACUCAUAUGAACGGUCAUCUCUUGGCUAGAAAAAUCAUGAGGCUCGGUUACUAUUGGUUGAUCAUGGAAGCUGAUUGUAUUUAGCAUGUGAGGUUCUGUCAUCAAUGCCGAGUCUAUGGAGACAAAAUCAAUGCUCCUCCUAAUGAGCUACAUCAAAUGUCCGAGUCUUGGCCUUUUUCAAUGUGGGGCAUCGACAUCAUCGGACCGAUUAAUCCUAAAGCAUGGAAUGGACAUUGUUUUAUCUUGGUAGCCAUUGAUUACUUCACCAAAUGGAUUGAAGCCAAUUCUUAUGCCCAUGUUACUGCAAAGAGUGUGGCAAAAUUCAUCUGUUGUGAUAUCAUUGCUCGAUAUGGAGUUCCUAAAGCGAUCAUCACAGAUAAUGGAUCAAACUUGAACAAUAAAGUGGUGGAUGAUUUACUUGGAGAAUUCCACAUUCACCAUUUGAAUUCUUCUCCUUACCGCCCACAAAUGAAUGGAGCUGUGGAAGCGGCAAAUAAGAACAUCAAGAAGAUUUUAGCCAAAACGGCGGAAAAGUAUCGUGAUUGGCAUGAUCGGUUGCCAUAUGCUUUGUUUGCUUAUCUAACUUCAAUUCGUACUUCGAUUGGGGCAACACCGUUCUCAUUGGUUUAUGGGAUGGAAGCUGUACUACCCGUGGAAGUGGAAAUUCCUUCACUGAGGGUACUUUCUCAAAUCAAGCUCUCUGAAGCUGAAUGGGUUCAACAAAGAUUUGAACAACUUAAUAUGAUUGAUGAAAAGAGGGUAAAAGCCUUAUGCCAUGGACAAAGCUAUCAGAAGAGAGUAGCUAGGUCAUUUAAUCGCAAAGUUAGACCAAGACAGUUUGAGAUCAACGAUCUUGUCUUGAGGAAGGUUUUACCUAUCAUUCCAGAUCCUCGUGGGAAGUUUACUCCAAAUUAUGAAGGUCCAUAUAUUGUAAAGAAAGUGCUACCCGGUGGGGCACUAAUUCUUGUAGAAAUGGAUGGUCAUGAAUUGCCAAGACUUGUAAAUGCUGAUUCUGUCAAGAAGUAUUAUCCAUGAAUAAAGUGAAAGGCCUUUGAGCCAUCUUUGGAUUGAAUCUGAGCCAUUUUAGGAUGUUUACAUCAUGCAUUGCAUGCAUACAUAUUGCAUUUGCAUGUUUGUUCAUUUUGCAGGAUCUCUGACGAAGAUUCUACCUAUCCGCAGGAGGUUCAUCUCAAGAGUGCAAAACUUUCAAAAGUGUCCAUUCUUUAAUAGAACUUAGAAGUGACCUUACCCUUUAGAAUGCCAAAAGAAUCGAUUAGAACUCCAGAAGUAUAGUUAGAACUUUAGGAAUGAACCCAUGUGCUAAGCAAAGCCUGUUCUGUCUACAAAUUUUUUAUCAAACCUUACUUUCAAAAAUCUCCCCAAUAGGGUCAAGGAAACAUGUCCUUUCAGACAAAAUUUCAUUAUAUUUUCAUUUCCUCAAGGAGUUGAAUUUAACCAAAAUGUGCUUUGGAAAACCUGAAAAAGGAUUGUUAAAUAUGGCAGGUGGUAGUGCCUAAAAUGAUGAGAGGCAACCCCUUUACCAAACACGUCCUCAUACACUCUUUGAGUGAAUUGAGUGGAAAGAACCAUGUCUUAAGGCAUAGGAUUCAUUCACGGUGAAUACAUGAUUUGAAAUGAUUAAGGCAUUUCAUUUCCCGAUCCCAAACACUAUUGAUAUCCCUUGCAAGCCACUUUGAGCCAAAUAGGGAGCAUUUCCAAAAUAACCCUGUCAAGAACAACCCCACAUUGGGGCAAAAUAAGGGGUCUUGGUUGAAAAUUACGGAGCAAAAGAUUAAGAAAGAUUUUAUUGCUUUCACUUGUAUCAAUCUUCUUGUGCUAGCUUCAGGUGAUUUCUUAUCGAGACUCGAAGCAUCCCAAAGUGACGAAGAGCAUUCUGUUCACUACCCCAAAAACAAUUAUCCUUUGCUUAGCCAAUUUGAGCCAUAUGCAAUUCUUUCAUUAUCCCAGGUGAUGAUUAUCUCCCCACACUGGGGCAAGGCACAUGAUUUACCAACAAAAUUGAGAAUAUUGGUAACAUUUGUAAAUGCCACUCGAGAGUCCUAGAUGCUCAAAAAGAGAAUGAAAACUAGGGGCAUGAAAAAGCAGUGUGCCUGGUAAAAGCAAGGCCAAUGCCCAUGAAAAAAUGCAAAGAAAAGCAAGAAUGUAAAAAAAAGAAAAAAGAGCGAAAUCCAUGAUCAUGCAAAAGAGCAUUCAUUGAAAAACAAAAGAAAUAUCUUGCAAGAAAAAACAUGUAUUGCAAGCAAUAUCAUUAGAACAGAGAGCAAAGCUCUCAUGUCUCAAGACAAAUUACCCAAAGGACUCUCGAGAUAGGUUAAAUUUCAAGAGUCAAAUUUUUGAGAAGUCAUGUGAUGGUAAUGAUGCCAAGAUAAUCACUCACUUUUUAACCUUUUGAUAUCUGAAAGUUUUUCAAGCAUUUCUAAGCCUUACCCGAAUCAACAUUACAACCCUUAUCCGAAGUCUCUUCCGAUUGGGAUGGUUCGAGUUGAAAUGAGAAUAUCACAUUGGAGCUACCGCUAGAAGGAGUGGAAGCAAUCCUAUCUUAUCUUAUCUUUAAGGUUCUUGACUUGUAAACCCAAUGAAGAUAUUGAUUGAAUAUUCAUUUCUUGGCCAUAAAGUGCAUACCCUUUGUGUAAGCCCAUGACCAAGCUAUCAUUACGGUCCAUUUAAAAGACCUUUUGAUCAAUGGAUUGUAUUCACUGUGAACGUUUCCGAAAGCCAUAGACAUAGGCUGAGUGAGACUUCUCUAGUGAGGAUUAAACAGUUUUCCCAUAUCAAUGGUUGGGAACAAAAGCCCUUUUUGAGAGUCAGUGUGAAAGACCUUUUUUGAUUAGGAUAUUUCCACUUGGCAUAUUUGACUUAACCCUUAGAUGGUUAAUCAAAUCUCAUUUUGUUAAAAUCCCCUCUGAAAGGAUUUGAUAAUUGGCGCUAUUUUGCAAGAUUGUCUCUCAAGUAAUCUUGAAACUCUUUUUCAAAAUAUUUGUUCCUUAGUGAACCGGUUCUUGGUCAUCCUAAACCAUAUCAUUGUCUCUUAAGUUCUAGGUUAUCUUAAAACCUUGUCCCCAAGUUCUAGGUUCUCUUAAAACCUUGUCUCUUAAGUUCUAGGUUAUCUUAAAACCUUGUCUUUUAGGUUCGUGGGUCUAUCCUUAAACCACUAGGUUCGUGGGUCCAUCCUUAAACCACACUAGGUUCAUGGGUACAUCCGUAAGACCCUUUUCCCAGUCGAAACCCGUUUUUACACGGUGGGACUAUCGCAUCCAGUCGAAACCCGUUUUUACACGGUGAGACUAUCGCAUCUAGUCGAAACCCGUUUUUACACGGUGAGACUUUUCUCUUAGUCGAAACCCGUUUUUACACGGUGAGACAUCACAUCCAGUCGAAACCCGUUUUUACACGGUGAGACAUCACAUCUAGUCGAAACCCGUUUUUACACGGUGAGACUUUUCUCCUAGUCGAAACCCGUUUUUACACGGUGAGACAUCACAUCCAGUCGAAACCUGUUUUUACACGGUGAGACAUCGCAUCCAGUCGAAACCUGUUUUUACACGGUGAGACAUCACAUCCAGUGAUACAACUCCCCCAGUCGAAAUCCGUUUUUACACGGUGAGACUUUUUCUCCCGGUCGAAGCCCGUUUUUACACGGUGAGACCUUUCUCCCAAUUUAAACCAUACAAUUCGUAGGUUAUCCUUAAACCAUUCCUUUUCCAUUUAGUGAUUUCAAUGUCUUCAUUCCAUUCCACAAGAGAGAGAAACAGAAAUAGAGCAAAUAAACCCCAACAAGAGUUCAGAUACCUUGAUGAGCAAAGGUAAGUAUCAGGUACGUCCCUAACCAACCAUCAUUGCUUUUGUCAUUUUCUAUUUUUCAAAGUUGGGUCGACUAAAAAUUGCAGGUAUCAAUUUUGUCUUUGAGUGGAACCUCUUCGAACUCCCACCCAAAGAGCGGCAGCUGUUGACACCUGAAAUUUUUUGUUAACAUUUUAAUCAUCCAUUUUGCAAAAAUAUAGAAAAAUAAAGAGCCAAAAAAAAAAAGAAAAAAAAAAGAGAGAAGAAAACAAAAAGAAAAAAAAACGACAAAACAAAACAAGAAGAAAAAAAAUGAAGUGAAAUGAAAAGAAAAAAAAAGAGAGAAAGAAAUAAGGAAAACGAAAAAAGAAAAAUAAAGGAGAGAAAAAGAAAAAUAAAAGAAAAAAAAUAGAAAAGAAAAAAAAGAGGCCAUUCACGGGGGUUUUUUCUUUUUUUUCGGGCUCUCUUUCUCUCCUCUCGGGGGACUCUCGGUGAACUCUCUCUCUCUCUCUCUCUCUUUGGGGGGGCUCUCUGAUAAUCACGAAGGAACUCUCUCCGGGGGAGCUCUCUCUCGAUCAAGUGUUCUCUCUCUCUACGGUUCAAUGGGCUAGGGUUUUCACUCCAGGGGAGGGAUGGAAGAUCGGGGUUUGGCGGGUUGUAGCGUUUUCUCUCUGGUGGAGGGGGACGCUCGCACUCUCUCUGGAAAGGGGGAUUCUCUCUUCCGCUCUGGGUAACUGCUCGAUUGAGCUCUUCGAUGGCGGAUUGAAGAAAACCCUAGCCUCGGUCGAGGACGGGGCUCGGGACAUCUCUCCCUCUUCUCAGCAAUCUGGUCCUCAAUCGAUCGUCGUUUCGAGUUUCCAUUCUUCGCGCAGAAACCGAACUCGCGGUCGAUCUCGCACGUUCGGUGAUGUUCCUGGCUUCGAAGAUGAAGAGCUUGAAGCGGUUGUUGACCUCGCCAUGCUGAUCCUCUUCGCGCUCAGCAUAUUCCCAUCCCCGAUCGGUGACAGGCGCAACAAAAUCUCCUCCGCCGGUCAGUACAGCCGUGGCUGUAACGGAACAGACGAACGCUCAUCACUACCAAUCAGGACAAUCAGUGGAUCCAUCCGUUGCCAGAACUUAACUUCUCCAAAUCUGAUAAUCUCCGACGAUCCGAAGGUGUUGUAGUGGUCUGGCAUGUGCUUGAUCUCACUCGAAUCGCUCAAAAGAGUCAGAAAAUCCAGCUUCCCUAAGAUACAACGAAUCCAGUUUCUGUUCGAACUUAUCAUCGCUGGUUCCAACCUCGUUCUUGGACGAUCAUAAAACUCUUAUUCUUCGUCUGGAACUCUUGUUGCAGUAUCCGUAUCACUGAUAAACCAGGUAAACUCAUUCCCCUCUCUCCUGCUCUGUUGCAAUGAAAUGUGUAGAAGAAUCAUGUUCACGUAGUUCGAGUGUAAUUCACUUAAGAUCUGAGCUGUAACUAGAUGACUUGUGAUGGUUCUGUGAUUUUAAUAUUGAUUUUAGAAUGUUAGAUGAAAACAUGGCUUCAGUCCCAUUCCAUAGCUUCAGUUAAUCGUUUUGUUGUACGUGAAGUGUUUGACGAAAUACCUCAAAAGCAUGAGCGAGAAAUAGGUCAUGAUAAUGUCAGAUCUGAAAACGUGUUGAUAUGAAACAUUUCUUAGAAGUUGAUUUACCGAGUAUAUAGAUCUGAUGCCACUCAUUGUGCCAUUGUUACUGAACCUGUGUUGUUUAUUGUGUUCUGUGUUCUGAUCUGACCUUCUGUGCAAAAUGACGUUAGAUGAGCGGGUUGCUGUGGUUGUCUGUGUUCGAAGUCUUCAUAUAGGUUGAAGAUGGUUCGAUUAUCUUUCCAAUGAUCUAU
This 11535-nucleotide long non-coding RNA is filed under the name Eucalyptus grandis. RNAcentral's name for it is "long non-coding RNA (EGRA_LNC002652)". The record is from RNAcentral. Lineage: Eukaryota; Viridiplantae; Streptophyta; Magnoliopsida; Myrtales; Myrtaceae.